Molecule: long non-coding RNA, 103 nt
Organism: Pipistrellus kuhlii (Kuhl's pipistrelle)
Lineage: Eukaryota; Metazoa; Chordata; Mammalia; Chiroptera; Vespertilionidae
Exons: 3
Source: RefSeq, a predicted model, not a curated record
ACAUGAGCAGUGUGUCCCCACCAGCCAGAGGAGCCACCACUGCUGUGAGCAGCACCCACCAGAAGAGUUGCUGCCAACUGAGGAGCAGCUCCUACCACAACAA